This 496-nucleotide long non-coding RNA is filed under the name Elaeis guineensis (African oil palm). RNAcentral describes it as "long non-coding RNA (EGUI_LNC006468)". Lineage: Eukaryota; Viridiplantae; Streptophyta; Magnoliopsida; Arecales; Arecaceae. The record is from RNAcentral.
CAUAAAGCCAAAAUCUCACCAGUUUGACUGAAUAGGUAGUGACCAAUAUAAUGAUGGUCCUAUGCAUUCUAACAGGCAUGAUAUCAAGUGCACAGGAGCUGUCUUGAUAUUAUACGCUUAGGAAGCAGCAUAUAGGAAGCAGACACAGAUACUUCUGCUCAGAGCUUCACCAAAGGGUCCAACUUCCUUUGCUUUAGAAUAUUGAACGUUUUACCUGGGAAAAACAUGGCAUCCAUCUGAUUCAGAUGUAAUGAAAUACAUAAGAGUAGGAGAGUGUAUCGGUUGUUUCAGAGGGUUUAGCUAAUAGAAUUAUCAGGGCAGAUGCGAACCUGAUGGCAAUUCAGGGAUUUUGGGCAGAAGCGAACCUGACAGCAAUUCAGGGAUUUUGGGCUGCACAGCAGGGAACCUGACGACAUUGUGACGACAUUGCCGCACUCUCCUAGACAGGGAACCUACAAAGAAUUUUUUUUGUACACCGCGGGCGACGUAGAAAACA